AAUUUCUGAUUUACUUUAUGUUAAGUAUGUACCAAUUGUAUUCAUCAAGAAUCUUUAAAAUACUAAACAAAUUACAUUAUUUACUCAAACUUGCACUUUUUUCAGGUUUUAGUAUCUGAAACUAGGGUGCAUCUUAGAUUUAAUACAUCAUAAUUAGUGACUUCUAGUGUUGUUCGUCAUAUUCCUCUGUCACUUCACUGUCAUGAAUACUAAUCUAAUAAAAUCAUUAAACAUUUAAGAGGUCAGUUUAGCCCUAUCAUAACUGUUGGGUAAAAUUCAGGGAAAAAGUUCUCAGCACUCUUUCAAGAAACAUGGCAUUUCUGACGGUUCAAAUGAAUCCUAAGAUGAUUGCGCAUGGAAAGAUGCAAGAAAGAUCGAAUCUGGUGACAAUUCACAAGAGCCUAACAGAAAGCAAUGUUUGACUUUGAUAUCAUGGAAGAUAGUGAUAUAUAACUUUACCUUAAAUAAAUAUUGAAUGAGUUUGUCAACAGAACCAAUUAUAUUGACAUAAAUCUAUCUUGAUUUGUCUAGUUUUUCAAGAAAAAAUCAAGAAUGAGCGUGAAGAAAUUAAGGUGUCUUAUAUUUGAGUAAAUAUAGUUUAUCUAAUUUGACUAUAAUAUAGUCUGUAUAGAGCUAGACUUUGCUUGAUUGGAGCCAAUUUUUUUAAAGUAAGCAGUAUAAUCCUAAUCACCUACUCUAAACUAUUUUCAAUUUCAAAUAAAUAACCACAAUACUUUUAUCUAAUUCAGCAGCUUUUAUUUCUCUGCAAAACAAAUGUUUUCAAUCUUCUUUUGAGAGGUAAUAUUCAAAAAACGGAAAUGUCUGAAGAACUGAUGUAUUUCAAAAUUUGAAACCUCAGAGGCGUGUAUAAGCUUGACACAAUUAAAUCAUAAAUGCUUAUUGAAAUACACUUGCCAAGAAUGAGAAGUAAAUUUCUCUUCAUUACAAUUAAUACAGCCUCUAAGUCGGCCACUUUAAAGAUCUCAAGGGCUUCCAAUUCUCUGAGUUAUUCAGUAGAGAGAGCAAAUCUUAUCGGAGGCCCAAUUUAAUUUUGCAAUAAUGUCGUCAUCCAACGCAUACAUAGAUAGGACUGUGGAUCUCUUAUGAACUAUGUCAUAUCUAUGAUCUGCCAUCUGUUUUUUCAGUGACUUUUUGUAGAUCCAAUGUAAACCAGGACCUGGUUUACAUUGUCUGGAACCUUUCAUUGCUUAAAGGAAUCUUAUGUAUACCAGGCAUUCUUUCUCUUUGUUCAUUGGAUCAUUCUUGUUAUGUAAUAGUUUAUAGAAGUUGCUUCAGAGGAAGAGACAGGAGAAUGUGCUUUCUUAUAGAUUAAGUACAGGGGGUUUUGGAGAAAAAUCAUCCAGGCAAAGCUGUUGCAGGCAGUGUCUGCAACUUGUUUAAUGAUAGUCUUGCCCCAUUUUAGGCAAAUUUUAAAGAGGCGGCAGAAACUGACCUUUUUGGAUAGCUUUCUUGUGUGACAUGGGUCCACUGACUCUGAAGCUGGUCCUAGUGCCAAAAGACCAAGAAGGGAAGUGACCCCAAAUAGUGCCUUGAUACCUAAGGUCCUUAUGGAGGGGGAUCCCCCUUCCAAACAAUAAUAUCUGCACCCCUCUCCCCCUCCUUGCCAUCUUCCAUAUGCCAAGAGUCUUCAGAAAGGCCCAUCCAGUAAUGAAGACAGUACAGAGCAAAGAGUCAGAUUCGUAUAUUUCUGACAGUGUGAAUACCAUCCCGUCUACAUCUGUUAUACCAUCGCAUCCACGAAAAAGAGCUAGGAUGAGAACUAGGGUGAGUCUACUGGUGAUAUUGAAUGGAAAGAGGUGGACCAGAGACCUUGAUUGGCUGUAAUUUAAGGCAUUUAUCUCAGAAGAAUACACUAAUUGAAGAUUUUGCAGGAUUUACUUCAGAGUGCAUCCAUAUCUAUCCAAAGAAAAACUUUGUGCACAACAAAAGAAGUCUCAAACAGGAUUUUUGAUAUGCUUUUGCAUAAACUGUUGCAUUGAUUCUUGGUAAAUUUUCUACCUUAUAUAACUGUCUACUAUGAAAAUUCCAUUCUUUAAUGCAAGGUAUUUCUAUUUAUUGCAACACUUUACCCAAUAUUGUUAGAGUGACAAGUCAGACUAACAAUAGCAAUCUAUUUCUCAUGAUAUCCCUUUUUGUUCGAUCAUUGCAUAGAUGUAAAAUUAUUAGGGGCAGUCAAAUGAAAACAAGACAGAUGGGAAAAAAGUAAGUAAACUGCUUAUUAUUUCAAAAGUAAUUGUCAUAAUGGUUAUUACCUUUAUCCCACUGUGAGACAAGACGGUCAAUGCCUUCAUAGAAAAAUGUUUGCAGUUGCCUAUGGAACUAUGAUUGUACCCAGGUGUGCACCUUUUCAUCCAAAGCAAAUUGACGGCCACGAAUGUCUUUCUUCGGGGCUCCAAAAAUAUGGAAAUCGCAUGGAGGAUGUGUAUGGACUAUGCUGCAGAAGUUCCCAGCGAAACUUCUGCAGCAUAGUCAAAACAACCUUGGUAACAUGUGGCUGGGCAUUAUCCUGCAACAGAAUGAUGCUGUCUGUCAACAUUUCUGGGUAUUUGGAUUUAAUGGCAUGCUUCAAUUUUUGCAAAGUUUCUAUGUAUCGCUGUGCAUUAAUUGUGGUGCUGUGUUCCAGAAAGUCAACAAGCAGCGGACCUCCAUAGUGAUGCUGAAUGCACACAUGACUCGCCGGCCUCACUUUGAGCGCGUCUAACAGACAAAUGGCACAGCGGUGAACGUUCACGCUGUUCCUUCCUGAUUCCCAAUAGAGGGCACUUCUAUAUACACACCUACCUGCAUUACCAACUUCCCAUGCCACACUUGUUAUAUUGUCUGUCUCAUUUUCAUUUGACUGCCCUUAAUACAAUUGCAUUAACUCUCAGGAAUGUACAAAAAUUGCAACUAAGGAAACACUAAUAGUAGUUUCCCUUGUGAUAUAUAAGCUAAAUGCAGAAUUUUUGAUUUCUCUCCUUGUUUUACAUUAUCUGUUUCUUUAAAAAUUUAAUUAUUUAAAUAUAUGGGUGCAGCCUUUUCAGGUACUUUCAGAGUUUGAAUUGUGUGACUAUUUUGUAGUGCUCUUCACUUCUACAGUAGUCAAAAAAUAACUGGACUAACUCAAAGCCUGUAAUCAAGUAAUUGAAAAUAGUGACAAAUAUAUACGAAUGACCUUUGCUUUCUGUAAAUUGUAUUCUUUGCCAAGGCUUCUAAACAUUUGCCACAGCUUAUUAAAAUAACUCUCAAAAUUAGAAAGUUUUCCUAGGGUUUUGCGUUUGAAUCUGGAUGUAAAAUCAGUCAGGGAUAUCCAUUUUAGGAUUUAGUAAUGUGGCUACCAUAUUGUGAAACCCUAAAAUGUACAGUUUGGCAUCUAGCAC
Molecule: long non-coding RNA, 3380 nt
Organism: Centruroides sculpturatus (bark scorpion)
Lineage: Eukaryota; Metazoa; Arthropoda; Arachnida; Scorpiones; Buthidae
Exons: 4
Source: RefSeq, a predicted model, not a curated record